UACGUAGGGCGCAAGCGUUACUCGGAAUCACUGGGCAUAAAGGGCGUGUAGGCGGACGCGUAAGUCCGGUGUGAAAUCCCUCGGCUCAACCGAGGAUGGCCAUUGGAUACUGCGUGUCUAGAGUGUGGGAGGGGAGAGUGGAACUCUUGGUGGAGCGGUGAAAUGCGUAGAUAUCAAGAGGAACGCCGGUGGCGAAAGCGGCUCUCUGGCCCAUUACUGACGCUGAGGCGCGAAAGCUAGGGGAGCAAACGGGAUUAGAUACCCCGGUAGUCCUAGCCCUAAACGAUGGGUACUAAGUAGGGGCGACUCCGAUGUCGUCUCUGCUGUAGCUAAUGUGCUAAGUACCCCGCCUGGGGAGUACGGUCGCAAGGCUGAA
This 376-nucleotide ribosomal RNA is filed under the name uncultured bacterium. RNAcentral describes it as "bacterial SSU rRNA". It matches the Rfam family "Bacterial small subunit ribosomal RNA", at positions 524 to 898 of the family's 1533-position model. The record is from RNAcentral.